AGAGGCCCGCUCCUCAAAGCAGGCCAGCUUUCCCAGACAGAGACAGGAACAGGACGCUGGUGGCUUCUAUCAACACGCAGAUGACACGUGAGAAAGGGUCAAAACAUACCUACGAAUUCAAGACAGAAGAUAAUGUCAAUAUGACAUUGGAACUUCAAGUUCUAUAAUGCAAUUUGAUGAUGCUAAAACUGAACUUCCUCUUACACAGAAAAUAAAAGAAUCCUUACUAAGGUUUACUGUCUUCCUCUAGACUAUAAACUCCAUGAGAGCAGAAACUUUGCCUGUCUUACCUAUCACUGAAUCCUUGGCAUCAGAACAGUGCUUCACAGAAGCUGAUCAACAGUCGUUGAGUGAAUGAAUAAAUAUUUAGAUGUCACAAAUUCAAUGAACAUCCAUCUAUAUUACACCAAUUUUCCAUAAGUACUAACCUUUUAAAAACUACAUACCUCAUAAAACACAUGAAGGCUAAGUUCAUAAAGUGAGAUAGUAGCUGAGCAAUUGCACUUGAUAAUCUUUAGUAGAGAGCCAAUGAAAACUGAAUAUGUGACAUAUAUGUGGGCUAGAGGUACAGAAGACAGAACAAUCUUUGUCUUCCUAUAAAACAGAUUGUUAGAAAGCUUCUACAAAGAAGCAGUUGAGCUCUAGUAUUAGAACUUGGAAAUUAACAGAAGCCAAAGAGGUGCAAAGAUACUUUCCCUUAGCCCCAAACUAAGUUUUUACUUUUAUAAUAAUAAUGGUAAUUUUUUACUUAAUUUAGCUGGAUGAUCAGCUCUAAACUGUUACAGAAUUAAUCUGGAAAGGAGCUCAAUCAACUUUAUGUUACCCUCUGUGUUUACUUUUCUAGUAAGAGAAACAAUUUGCUAUCCAACGCUUUUGCUAGAUGCACUUAAGAGAAAUCACCUGGAGGAAAGCAUAAGUAUGCCUGCAUUUAUGGAGUGACAAAGAUAGGCAUUUAUUAGCAUCCAUGGUGAGAAGGAAGUAGUAGCUAAGACUUCCAUCAUCAGGAAUAAUAGCUAAAAGAAAUGGGUCCAAAAAUGAGUAAAAAAUCCCCAUGUUACAUACACUCAUUAUAUCAGCAUGGCUAUCACAUAAUGUUAACCACAUCUUUAAAAAAAAAACUUACUCUAGGAUAAUAUUAAGCAGAAUCCAUAGGCUUCAUGACAGAAUGUUUUCUCAUGAUCACAUAUUUCACAGUAACCUUACCUUUCCCUCAUUUGACCAGAAGAAGGACCUUUAUUAAACUCUUCGACAUUACCAGCUAUUAAGAUUCUUCCUGAGCAUGGGAAUUUCCCAUAUCUGAAGUUAUCUUUUCUUUCUUUUUCUAUUCAGCCUGAACUUCAAAGUGGUUAGUCACUUGAAUUUACUCUACAUCUUAAUUCACUUGCCAUCCAAGCUUCUGCCACGUGGCUUGACAGUUCAAUAAUGUUCUCCUUUGUGACAGUCACUGUAUUUACUCAGUGAUAUACUUAUUGAUGGAUGAGUGAUUUUUUCCUGUCCUCAAGUGUCUUGAGUGGUGUUGAGAUGUAUAAAUGAAUAAACUGAGACUUACUAUUGAUGUUCAAAUUAUUGCUGAAUAUUAUCUGACACUGAACCAGGUUGUAAAGGUGGAGUCAGGAAAUAUUCUACCAAAAAUUAUUAAUUUAAGUAGUCAUAUUUUUUAUAGUAUUGUUAAUAUCAAUUGAUAUGUUUUGAAAGAAUACUUGAGCUAACUUCCUAGCACCAAACAGGUCAGAAUGUCAUGUUUUUCAAGAGGAAAAUUUGGUCAUCUGCUGAUUAGAAUAAUGUAAACUAGGAGAGGAGUGCUUUCUAAAUAAACAUCCAGAGAAUUAAAAAAGUCUAGGAAAACAAAGGUCCCUUUAAUGACUGUUUUUUUUUUUUUUAAAAGAUUUUAUUUUU
This is a long non-coding RNA of Equus quagga, 1896 nucleotides long. RefSeq lists it as uncharacterized. The record is from RefSeq and is a predicted model, not a curated record. The transcript is spliced from 3 exons. Lineage: Eukaryota; Metazoa; Chordata; Mammalia; Perissodactyla; Equidae.